UCGAAGGUUGCACGGAGCGCCGCGUCUUGUGGCCACUGCGUCGGGAUUGGCAGCUAGGAGCCUCUAGAUCAGGAAUUGUUGCCGAGGACCGCCGCAACGAGAGAGGUCAUGGUAUUUCAGGAUGUUCCGGGUCCGGAAUUGUUGCCGAGGACCGUCGCAACGAUUGGGGCCAUGGAAAUGGAUGUAAAGUUAAAUUUUAGGUGCCUAGGCUGGACGAUAUUUGGAGAUAUGUUUUUCAGGUAGGCUAUUCUGAAGGUACAUUUGUAGCAGCUAAUAUUAAGGCCGUCGUAGCUGGGAUGCCGUGGUUUUGGGUUCUUCAAGUUUGCGAUUAAUCUUGAGAUACAUUUGUAGCAGCUAAUAUUAAGGCCAUCGUAGCUGGGAUGCCGUGGUUUUGAGUU
Drosophila mauritiana is the source of this 398-nucleotide long non-coding RNA. RefSeq lists it as uncharacterized. NCBI's taxonomy places the organism in Eukaryota, Metazoa, Arthropoda, Insecta, Diptera, Drosophilidae. The transcript is spliced from 5 exons. The record is from RefSeq and is a predicted model, not a curated record.